UAGGGAAUAUUGCACAAUGGAGGAAACUCUGAUGCAGCGACGCCGCGUGAGUGAUGAAGGCCUUCGGGUCGUAAAGCUCUGUCGCAGGGGAAUAACACAAUGAAGGUACCCUGUAAGAAAGGAUCGGCUAACUUCGUGCCAGCAGCCGCGGUAAGACGAGGGAUCCUAGCGUUGUUCGGAAUUAUUGGGCGUAAAGCGGGUGUAGGUGGCUAUGUAAGUCAAGUGUGAAAGCCUGGGGCUCAACCCCAGAAGUGCAUUUGAUACUGCGUAGCUUGAGUGCUGGAGAGGUUACUAGAAUUCUUGGUGUAGUGGUGAAAUACGUAGAUAUCAAGAGGAAUACCGGAGGCGAAGGCGGGUAACUGGCCAAGCACUGACACUCAGACCCGAAAGCGUGGGGAUCAAACAGG
Molecule: ribosomal RNA, 407 nt
Filed under: uncultured bacterium
Lineage: Bacteria
Description: bacterial SSU rRNA
Rfam family: Bacterial small subunit ribosomal RNA
Source: RNAcentral